RNAcentral lists this ribosomal RNA (868 nucleotides) under uncultured bacterium. RNAcentral's name for it is "bacterial SSU rRNA". It matches the Rfam family "Bacterial small subunit ribosomal RNA", at positions 12 to 892 of the family's 1533-position model. The record is from RNAcentral.
UUUGAUCCUGGCUCAGGACGAACGCUGGCGGCGCGCCUAACACAUGCAAGUCGAACGAGAGAUGAGGAGCUUGCUCUUCAAAUCGAGUGGCGAACGGGUGAGUAACGCGUGAGGAACCUGCCUCAAAGAGGGGGACAACAGUUGGAAACGACUGCUAAUACCGCAUAAGCCCACGGCUCGGCAUCGAGCAGAGGGAAAAGGAGCAAUCCGCUUUGAGAUGGCCUCGCGUCCGAUUAGCUAGUUGGUGAGGUAACGGCCCACCAAGGCGACGAUCGGUAGCCGGACUGAGAGGUUGAACGGCCACAUUGGGACUGAGACACGGCCCAGACUCCUACGGGAGGCAGCAGUGGGGAAUAUUGCACAAUGGGGGAAACCCUGAUGCAGCGACGCCGCGUGGAGGAAGAAGGUCUUCGGAUUGUAAACUCCUGUUGUUGAGGAAGAUAAUGACGGUACUCAACAAGGAAGUGACGGCUAACUACGUGCCAGCAGCCGCGGUAAAACGUAGGUCACAAGCGUUGUCCGGAAUUACUGGGUGUAAAGGGAGCGCAGGCGGGAGAACAAGUUGGAAGUGAAAUCCAUGGGCUCAACCCAUGAACUGCUUUCAAAACUGUUUUUCUUGAGUAGUGCAGAGGUAGGCGGAAUUCCCGGUGUAGCGGUGGAAUGCGUAGAUAUCGGGAGGAACACCAGUGGCGAAGGCGGCCUACUGGGCACCAACUGACGCUGAGGCUCGAAAGUGUGGGUAGCAAACAGGAUUAGAUACCCUGGUAGUCCACACCGUAAACGAUGAUUACUAGGUGUUGGAGGAUUGACCCCUUCAGUGCCGCAGUUAACACAAAUAAGUAAUCCACCUGGGGAGUACGACCGCAAG